GCUUCCCCUAGAAGCAUUUGAGAUGUGGCUAUUGUGUCCAAUAUGCAUCAGUAGGUGGCAAAAUGAAAGGCUAUGUCUAUACUCAGUGUUCUGGCUUAUGAACAUCUGAAUGAUUAGUAGACUAACAUU
Apodemus sylvaticus (European woodmouse) is the source of this 129-nucleotide small nucleolar RNA. RefSeq annotates it as small nucleolar RNA SNORA17. The transcript has a single exon. The record is from RefSeq and is a predicted model, not a curated record. NCBI's taxonomy places the organism in Eukaryota, Metazoa, Chordata, Mammalia, Rodentia, Muridae.